This 357-nucleotide ribosomal RNA is filed under the name Triticum aestivum (bread wheat). RNAcentral's name for it is "partial small subunit ribosomal RNA". The record is from RNAcentral. Lineage: Eukaryota; Viridiplantae; Streptophyta; Magnoliopsida; Poales; Poaceae.
AUGGCAUCUUCUCAGCGUAGUGGAGUACGUACUCCCUUUCAGGAUGUGACAAACAAUAGCAAUUCAGGUAAAUAUACAGUUAUCACCUACUCUUGCCUACUUAUAUCUUGUAAAUCCAGCAUAUGUCAUUGCCCCGCAGGUCAACCAACAGAUCCAAAAGAGCGGAAGAGACAAAGGGAAAGGGAGAGGUAUGCACUAAAUAGGGAUGCAAUAUUAAAAAAACGACAAGAGGCAAGGGAUCAUAAGAAGGCUACCACCGCUAUUGUAACUGGAACCAACACUCCAUCAAAGCCAUCCGGGGCCAUGUCACCUGGUUACUCCAUUUUACCUGUCCUUUAUCAUGCAUGUCGUGAAUGA